AGUACAGUUUCAGUUCUAUCACAAACAACAGUAAAUUCAAAACGUCAAUCCAGAAAAAUGAAGUUCUUUGGCAUUCUACUGUUGACCAUGGCGCUGCUCAGCCUGUGCAUCGGCGAGCCAUUGUUGCUGAAGAAGAAGCUUGUCAACAGAUACGUUCGUCCUCGACUCACCAAACUUGUCCACGAACAAGUCCUGCCAGCAGUCAGAAGACUCCGUUCGGGGCCGGCUUAUUCGAGCGGUGCGCUGCACUAACUUUGCUCAGCAUAUUUUCAUUGGUUAGAGUUUCUGGAAUAAACAUUGUUAAUGAAAAUAAAAAGUUUUGUUAAAUA
Molecule: long non-coding RNA, 329 nt
Organism: Toxorhynchites rutilus septentrionalis
Lineage: Eukaryota; Metazoa; Arthropoda; Insecta; Diptera; Culicidae
Exons: 2
Source: RefSeq, a predicted model, not a curated record